UCGUCACCAAGCAAAAAAAAAAAAAACACAUGGAGGUAAGUUGGCUCGAAAAGGGGACGAAAAACAUCGCUAUUAUACGGUGACAGUGAAGGGUUGUGACAGAGAAUGGAACAUACAGUCAUAGGGAUCCAGAGGCAUUUUGGGAGCUUGAAAAGACUGACGCUGUUUACUGUGUGACACUACUGUAACUGCGGUCACUUAAACCAGUUAGACAGUGAACCAAUCAAAAUGUGGUAUGAAAAUGAUGCAUUACAACUAUGAGUGCCGGAGCAGGGGCAAAAACCUAUAAUUCCUCUCAGUAUGGUGUUUCAGCACAAAUAAG
This is a long non-coding RNA of Actinia tenebrosa (Australian red waratah sea anemone), 322 nucleotides long. NCBI's taxonomy places the organism in Eukaryota, Metazoa, Cnidaria, Anthozoa, Actiniaria, Actiniidae. The record is from RefSeq and is a predicted model, not a curated record.